UAUAAGUUCGUUUUUCAGUUUUUAGAUACACUCUUCAUCUUAUUUGAAUUUUUUUAUGAUUAAUAUUUUUAUUGUUACUAUAUGGUAAAACAUGAAUAAUACUUUAUGCGUGAUAAAUUUUUUUAAGUUUGUACAAAUUUUUUAAAUAAGACGAAUGGUUAAACGUCGUACACAUAAAUCAAAAAAUAAAUUUAUU
Molecule: microRNA precursor, 196 nt
Filed under: Oryza brachyantha (malo sina)
Lineage: Eukaryota; Viridiplantae; Streptophyta; Magnoliopsida; Poales; Poaceae
Description: MIR812 microRNA precursor family
Rfam family: MIR812 microRNA precursor family
Source: Rfam by way of RNAcentral